Eucalyptus grandis is the source of this 1457-nucleotide long non-coding RNA. RefSeq lists it as uncharacterized. NCBI's taxonomy places the organism in Eukaryota, Viridiplantae, Streptophyta, Magnoliopsida, Myrtales, Myrtaceae. The record is from RefSeq and is a predicted model, not a curated record. The transcript is spliced from 2 exons.
UCCAUCGCACGCCUGUCCACCGCCUCCCUCCAUUUGUGCGACGUCUCCUGCUUCUGCCUCACUUUUCUUUUCAUCUCGUCAAAGCAAACAGCGGUUCCACGAUCAUUCCCUCUCCAUCUUUGCGGUUCUGCUUCGCUUUCAUUCCUCUUUGCAAAGAACCGCCAUCUCUACCGAAACCUUCUGCCCCUUUUUGUUCUUUUUCUUCGACGUAUCUUCAUCCAACUUCAUGAAGACGAGCCGCUGAAGCAACCCCAACUCAACCGAAGCUGACUUCGGUUUGCAGACCCCUCCAUCUUACAGCCACGCGUCCCCACAGUCAACACCAGUUAAACCCCAUGUUCGAGUGUUGACUCCAGCAACAUAGACCGUAGCUGCUACUUCCUUCGUCCGCGUCUCCCGGCCCAGCAUCAUCGAAGACCACAGCCCCGUGAUCUCUCUCCCCCUCUUGCUGUCUCUCCACCGAAAUUCCUUGAAGCUGUCAGCGAAGCCGAAGUCCAUCCAGCUUGUUCGGUCAAGCUUAUUUCAACGAAAGAAGUCCACCGAAGCUGUCGGUUGUUGACCAGCAAACCGCUCGAAGCUCCCACCUCCGCUCGUCUCUGCGCACGUCUCUCUCUCCCCCACCGAUCUUCACUCCACGCGGUCAAGAAUCCAGCUGCUUUCCUCGCCGUUGACCCCGCAUCCGUGGAUUUCCUUGCCGAAGCAAUCUGCCAGCGAAACUGCCUACUCCAGUAACGUUGGUCUUCAGUUUUCGUGGCCCAACAGCAGCCUUUGCUGCUUCUUCGAUCGGUCAUCUCGUCCGAGUCCAUCUCAUCCGAAGACAAGCGUACAGCAGCCCACACGAAAUUGUCGCAGCCCAAGUGAACAGCAGCUUCAUUGAGCCCACGCCAUUUGAAGCCCAAGCAAAGUCAGGCCCUCAAGAAAUCAGCCCAACAGUUUCUUUAAAGCAAGAUCAGCCCAGUAAUUUGAGGCCCAAUUCAGCAGCCCAAUCUUGAAGCCCAAGCCCGCUAAGCAAGUCAACCCAAGCUCAGGCCCAAGUUCAGUCCAAGCCCAGAAUUUUCUGUGGGCUUGCGAGGCUUUUAGGCCCGGUCCGUGUGCCCGUCGAUAUCGCCGAAAACCCGAGUUUCAGCUGUUGUCGCGUUGCCAUCGUGGUGAUUCGGUCUCCGCUUUUACCAAGACCCUGAUGAAGAGCCUGAGGAGAAGGAACCUGAAGAGGAGAACCCUGAUCUGGAACCAAAUGAGGAGGAACAUUUUGGAGAAGAAGAUGACCACGAGGAGGAUCCUGAGUACAACCCGGAUGAGGACUGAGAUCCCAUCUUGUUUUGUCAGACCUUGAUUAUAUGUGGAGAAGUGUUAGAUCAGACCCCUGUGAAUAGUAUUACAUUAUAUAUUAUGAGGUGCUUUGUCUAAAAGAGUGGUUGUGAAGUUCAGUAUGGAAAUUAUGGCCCUACUUUUUUAUC